RNA transcript from Mauremys mutica (yellowpond turtle), 6586 nucleotides. RefSeq lists it as uncharacterized. NCBI's taxonomy places the organism in Eukaryota, Metazoa, Chordata, Testudines, Geoemydidae. The transcript has 12 exons. The record is from RefSeq and is a predicted model, not a curated record.
AAGAGGGAGCAGGACUGGCUGCCUUGCAGGUAGAGGGCAGUAAGCACCUGGGACUUAACAGUGCUGCAGGCAGAGACCCAGGGAGCUAAAGGCAGUUCCUGGUGGGCUGCAGGGAUCUGCAGGCUGAGGCCCUAAAGCAAGAGCAAGGGGGGGUGCUGGGGCUGCGGGGAAGUAGCCCAGGGAGGUUUUUCAGAGGAGAUGCAGCAGGUGGUGGCCAUCUAGAGGGGCUGAGACCCAGAGGAGUGGGCAGGGCCCAGGUCUCCCCCCCACACUUCUAUUUGACUCUGAGGAAGUGGCUGCAGUGAAGAAUGGCAGUAUUGUCCCCUAGAAGGGGGGAACACAGAGUGUGGCACAGCUGGUGUGCUGUGUAAUGAAGAGGAUGCUGCGGUCCUGGGAGUAACGUGGGUCUCUGGAGCAGAAACGACAGUGGCAAGACCAGAGGAGAUCGUACUGGCAUACAGAGUUAAUCCCCAGGACAGCCAGAAGGAGGUGCCACAGUGUUUUCAGAUGCUGUUAGUUCCCGAUAUAAAGAGAUCUGGGUGAGCUCCCACUGGCAACUGCUGGGUCCUGCUGGUAUGGUACCAAAACGUUACCUGCUAGUGCAGGCCUCCUCAGCAGGAUGAGUUACAGAAUGAUGAGCCGGUGCCUGAUGCUGCUGCUGGUUUUCCACUGGGCUUCAAAAACAGCAGAAGCCCAAGAACAUAGAACUGUUGGUACAGGCUCUUCAGUGCUGUUGACGGCAUUGCCCACCAAUGACCAAACAGUCAUAAACCAUAUACAGUGGGAAUACAUAAGUAGUGGCUCAGCUCUCGGUGUUGUGGAUUACUAUGGAACUGGAACAGAACCAAUUAUCUUUAAAUCCUAUAAAGACAGAGUCAUUUUCUAUUCAUCCAAUGGCUCCCUCUUGUUGAAAAACGUACAAGAGACAGACAGCGGGACCUACAGCGCUACCGUCAAUUUGAACAAAAUUAAAGCCAGGCAAACUACACUACUAGUCUUAGAUGCCCAGCUUGGACUUUUAAAUGUGUAUAUAAUCUCACUCUUCCCACCACCGCCCCCCCCAGAGCCUAUGUCCAAAGCUCAGAUACAGAUAAACUCUACUGUGGCCGGUUCAUCCAUUGAAUUAUCCUGCAAGGUGCUGGUUGGCAAAGUGCAAGCUAUUGACUGGAAGAAAGAUGGGAAGCCCCUACCCAGGAACAGAUGUUACCAGGUCUCUGAAAACUUCAGUCUUUUGUACAUACCAGAAGCACAGAAAUCAGAUUGUGGAUCCUUUUCCUGCAAUGCCAGCAAUGAUAUAAGCUGGCAGGAAACCUCAGUGAAUUUGACCAUUGAAGGGAUCAGGCCUUCACUAAAGCAUGCACUGAAAAUUUCUACUGUUGCUCUUGCUAUUGCAACAACAUUGGCUGCUGGAUCUGGAUUGGGCUUCAUUAUCUUGUGCUGUCAGUCAGAGAAGAGAAAACUUACAGGAGAGCAGUGGAGAUGGCUUGUUGUAUUCAUCCAUGGGCUGGUGUGUGUCUCGGCCAUCCUGAUGUUCACGGCUGCUGUCCUCUGGAUGUGGGAAGAAGGUUUCUUCACAGCUCUUGUAUUGUAUAUGAUCGUCCUCAUGUGGGUGAUCAUGGUAACGCUUCUCAUAAGUGCGAUCUUGGCAAUUUGUCCCCAACACCUUGGGAUGUUUAAAAAGAAAACAAUGCACCGCGUCAUUCUGGAUACUGCAGCUCCUGGGGGAGUGAUUCUAGUUAUGAUGUUUGCCAUCUUCCUUACACAAAACAUCCAGCAUCUCCAAAGAAAAGGCUGCUCACCAUUUUUUGACAGCACAGCUGUCAUCCUUAUCGCUGCUGCAAUUUCUCUCCUUAUUCUUCUGGUGCUCUUUGUGUGGUAUCACAGGAAGAAAAAAAACGAAGAAAAGGAUCAGCAAGAAAGAGAAGCUGCAGGAGUAAGGAUGCAGUGCCCCAGAAAACCUUUUCAUUGGACUUUGAAAAAUUUUUCAUUGGUUCUCCAUAGUACAACAAAAAUGGAGAGAUCUGUUAAUUCAGCCAGGACUUUUCUGAGCUUCCAGUACUUCAAAAAACUUUACAACUGCUUGUGUAAAUAUACAGAGUUUUACACACACACACACACACACACACACAGGACUAUUGUUUAACAUUUCCCAGUAAAACAUUACGUCUUUUUAGGCCAGGAAGGGAAGAAUUUCACAUGCAAUUGAAAAGCUGAGAAUUUCUGGAAGCAAAAUGUAAUGAAAGAAGAUGGACUGUAGCCAGGAUGGAGGGAUCAUCUCUGCUGCUUUUCUAGUGGCACUCGUUACAUUUUUCAUGACCUGGCAGAGAGGAGUUCUGAAUUUUGCCUCUGCUCUGCGUGACAAUGCAUCUAGGAUCACAAUGCCUCCAACGCCAUCCCUGGCCAUCAGUGCAAUUCUGAUGUCAAGCUAGAUUGUAGAAGGUGGCAAUACUCUAUUUCUUGCCCAGCCUCCUGCAACUCAACAACAGCCUCUUCCUCUUGGAAGGAAUUGCAUGCCAUACAGAAACACCAAUGCUAGUUCUGGCAGCACUUGUUUACUUCCUGGAGCUGGUCUCAUCAAGAGCUCUCGUUCCCUCUGCUGUCCAAGGAAGUGUCAUGCAUAGGCUCCUGGAAGAUGUCCCUUUGUUGUCCAGGCCUGGAGAUAAGCUAUAACAGUCCUUGGAUGGCCAGAGCUGCAGAACUGACCAGCCAGCAAACAUGGUUGAAGGGAUGCUUGAGGUGAUAGCUAACACAGCAAAACAAAUUUCAAACAUUUUCAUUGCUUUCCUAUGUAGAUACAGUUAAAUGAGAGUCCAGAAGCGGAAAGCCAGGAAUGAAAGGUAUGUAUCCUCCAGGUAAGUGGUUCUCAGGUGUGAUUACGAGACAGUAUUAAGUGUAUCAGAAUUUAGAAUGCAACAUGGUUUCUGCUUAAAACUGAAUUAGUCCUCCUUCCAAAGAUACAAUGAUCUGCUUCAAAUUUGGAAUGCCAAUUCAAGACCGAGGGUAGAGUUUGUAAUACAAAUUUGGAGUCUUGUAGCCAUGUGUUUGUGACAGAGCCACCCUCAAAACAGGACCCAUGAAAAUAAGGUCAUUUCUUGUGUGUGAAGAGAUAAGGAUUGAUCAGGAGACAAGAGAUACUUGGAGGGAAGAUGAUCUCUUCUCCCCCUGCUUCCUCCCGCCCCUCCCCCAAACAGUGUGUUCUAGAAGAAAGUCACUUACAGAACAAUGGGGACUGCGGGAAGCGGCGUGGGCCGAGGGAUGUGCUGGCCACUGCUUCCCGCAGCCCCUAUUGGCCUGGAACGGUGACCCAAGGCCAGUGGGAGCUGCGAUUGGCCGAACCUGCAGAUGCUGCAGGUAAACAAAUCAUCCCAGCUCGCCAGCGGAUUUCCCUGGUGGGCUGCGUGCCAAAGGUUGCCAAUUUCUGAAGUAGACUAUAUAAAAGUGGCACCUUAUUCAGCAGUUCUGCCUUUUUUUCCUGUAAACUGAGCACAUUCGAUAGGGAAUCACUGAGGUUAUGUUUACAUUGCAAUUAUAAAAACAAAAACCCUGUACCAAGUUGCAGCACCCAGCUACAUUGACUUGAGCUUUCAGGGCUACAAAUAGUAGUGUAGACAUUGGGGGUCUGGGCUCUGAGACCCACCCCUCUCAUGAGCCCAAGUCAGCUGAGCUGGCCCAGCUGCAGACAUGCUGUGGGUCUUUUAUUGCAUUGUAGAUGUACCCUGAGAGUCAGUCACUUUUCAGAGUAGAAUCAUGCUCUGCUCACCAUGCUUAAUGUACCCAUGGGCUGGUAAUAGAUCGCUAGAAGGUACAAGAUUUCAUGGUUUGAGAAUUUGGAAGAUGAGAUGGGGGAAAAUCCUCCAAACUACCUGUCAGCUUCACUGUGAGUUUGGAAGACUUACACAGAAGUUUCUUCAGACUUCUUUCCAAAGAUUUUCUUCGGAAUAAUUCAUCUUCAUUCAUUCUCUACUGAGGUAAAUGAAGAACUCAUUCCCCAUGUUCAUUCAUUCCUGAUCUUUCUCACAUUAUUCCUUCAACUGAUCUCGAUCAGGGUUAGAAAUAGACCAGUUUUCCCCAAAAAUCUCAUUUUGAGCUUGAAAUGGACCCGCAGCUUUGCUGCUCAAGUUUAUGGUAAGUAUGAGUGAGAGUGGGAAAAUGUGUGUGUUGUGUUGGGACAGUUGUUAGUUUGUGCAGGUAAUAAAUGAGGAGUGUAUGCUGUGGUGAGGGUCUGUGUGUGUUUGCUGUGUUUUGUAUGUAGAAAGAGUUGGGCUGGGAGAUUUGUAUUGUGAGCACGUGACAGUUGGGCUCAAAGAUUGGGUAGUUGGUCCACCUUCUGUGCAGUCUCCCUCAUACAAUCAAUGAAAUUGCUGCAUGCAGAGUAGCUGUAGAAUAAGGGUGGUGAUUUGUUGUAUUACCCUGACAUCACAAUGGUCUAGGACUCUUGGCAUGGCACAGACAUUCCAUACUGUAGCUGUACACUGCACAAGUGUAAUUUGGAAAGUCAAAAUGGCAGAGAACUUAAAAAUGGGAUAUUAACAGAUUGCAAAUCUCAGUGGUUAUUACUCCAGGUGAUAUUCUGAAUAAAGUGCUCUCAGCCACGAUUGCAGCUGUUUCCAUUGCUUCACACUGACUCAGAGUAGGCUCCAGCAUGACAAUCCUAUUAUAUAGACUUUCAAAAUUUGAUUGUCGUAAGGUUUCUCUCACUUAUCUUGUCACUGAGUGCAAGAAACUAAAUAAUAUCUGAGGAGAGCUGGGGUGUGUGUGUGUGUGUGUGCCUUUUAGCCCCCUCCCCUUCCUUUUGCAAAUCUGUAGCUUUUCAAAACUUAAACUUUUACUAAAAGUUAUGGCAUGGCAGAAGAAAAAGUGAAACGUUACAAAGUGGUGUAGUUUCAUUGUUCUUGUUGCCACUUUUCUGAAUUUCAGCUUUGAUUCUGCAGCCAUCUUUCACAUGCUUAACUUUGCUAGUGGGAGUGAUGCAAUGAUUUCAAUGGAACUACUCAGAGUAAUAAUGUUAAGUACAUUCAUAGGUGUUUGUAGGAUUGGAGCCGUAGAGUAUUCGGAAAAGUUGUAUCAAAAGGGAAAAAGUGAAAAACCACAGCCCCUCAAAACAAAAUCUUAGCAUUAAUUCUGUUUCACUCAGUGGCAAAGGAACAAGAAAGUGGGUGGGAGACUGCAGUCUCAAAUUUUAAAAAAGCCCACUUUUGAGGAAAAAGAGAAGAGGAAGAUAUGGAGUGGUUUUUGUAUUUAAUUGUUUUUCUCACCUCUUCCAGUGAGGAAGGAGGAAAAGUGUUUGGUUUUUAAGUGAUAAAAACAGGAAGGAAAGUCUGAAAACAAGUGUAUUAUUUCAGUGGCCGAAAAGUAAAACAAAAUGAAAAGUGCAAUUUAAAAGUAAACUAAAUUAAACUUUUCCAUCUCAUUUCAAAGGGGAGGACAGAGGUGAACAGCUAGAAUGAGGUGUGUCUUGAAAAGGGGUGUGUGAGUGCAAGGAUUAGGGAGGAGAUAGUGGUGAGGCUUACUCCAGUGUUUGCUGGGCAGAAAGGUGGAAAAAUCCUAUACAGAUGGCCUUUUGUGGGUGGAUUGUGUGAUAUGUAUUCAUAGAUUCCAAGGCCAGAAGGGACCAUUGUGGUCGUCUAGUCUGACUGCCUGUAUGACACAGGCCCUAGAACUUUCCCAAAAUAAUUCCUAGAGCACAUCUUUUAGAACAACAUCUAAAACAUGUUGGUGUGUUGUGAGCAUGCUGGUGUGCUGAUGGUGCAAAGGUGUGUUAGAGGAGUGUGCAUUUUGGUGUGUGAUUGUGUAUGUGUGUGGGAAGGGGUGUUUGGUACAAUGCUCUGUGAUAUUUUUACAAAAGGAAUGAAAACUCCUUAAUGGCAUAAUAGAAGAUAGGCUGGAGAGCCUGAAAGCUGGAGCCAACGAAUUCUGAUAGAGGUUUUUAUAUUUUUUUAUUUGAAUAUAUAUUCCAUAUAAAAUCUUCUUGAUAUCUUAUACUUAGCUUUUUAUCUUUUGAAAAUGUACUGGGUUUAUUGGGUUGGUGUGGAUUUUAUUUUCAAAGCUAAGCAGUGUGCAUGUUCCCCUUAGCCUGCUUUCCAUUGCCAUAUCACUGUGGCUUGCCAUAAAUAGAAACAGUGGUUGCUAAUUUCUAUUUUGGUAAAAAUGGCUGAUCAUUGCUUUGUCACCAGCUGAUCUUUGGUAACCCAAGCCCAGAUUCUCAAAGGCAUUUAGAUCAUGGGGGUUAGGCACCUUUGAGAAUCUGGACCCCAGUUUAUGUAUUACCAGGACAUUUAAAAAAAAUCGUUCUGCUCUCUCUUUUGCUUAUAACAUAUAUUUGUAUUUUUCAUGUAAUACUUUAGUUUUUUGUUUUGGUCUCCUGGGCAUUUUUCCGAUCGCUGCCUAGAGGGUCAGAAAGGAAUUUCCCAGAGUUUUUUCCCUCUUUAAAAAGAGGGGUUUUCCCUCUGGGUUUUUGCCUUUCUCAGGAGAACUACUGAGGACUAAAAAUAUAUUUUGUGUUUGACUCAGUUAAUUUAUUGAUAAUUUGACUCAAUAAAUUCACUGCCAGUUGGGCUCAAUAAAAAACUUUCAUUUUUAUAACUGA